AUCGAACGCUGGCGGCGUGGCUAAGACAUGCAAGUCGCACGGGAACGUCCCUUCGGGGGCUAGUACAGUGGCGAAAGGGCGAGGAAUGCAUGGGUAACGUACCUAGAGCACGAGGAUAGCCGCGGGAAACUGCGGGUAAUACUCGAUGAGACCACUCACUGUCACAUGGCAGAGCGGUCAAAGGGUGGGGAUCCUUCGGGACCUACUGGCUCUGGAGCGGCCCAUGUCCUAUCAGCUAGUUGGUGAGGUAACGGCUCACCAAGGCUUCGACGGGUACCGGGACUGAGAGGUUGACCCGGCGCAUUGGGACUGAGACACUGCCCAGACUCCUACGGGAGGCUGCAGUAACGAAUCUUCCGCAAUGGGCGAAAGCCUGACGGAGCGACGCCGCGUGUGGGAUGAAGAUCUUCGGAUUGUAAACCACUGUCAGGGAUCACCAAGCGAAGAGGGCUAACAUCCCUCGGAGUUGAGGAGUCCCAGAGGAAGCCACGG
RNAcentral lists this ribosomal RNA (492 nucleotides) under uncultured bacterium. RNAcentral's name for it is "bacterial SSU rRNA". It matches the Rfam family "Bacterial small subunit ribosomal RNA", at positions 29 to 496 of the family's 1533-position model. The record is from RNAcentral.